CGAGGCGGGGUUGGUGGUGGCUGAGGCGGACGGGGUGGUGGAGGCCACGGGGGAGCUGUUGGCGUUCUUGUUCUUCUCCUGGGAGUACACCACUGACAGUGCGAUGAUUGUGCACACGGCUGCCACGCCCAGGAGGAUCCCCAGGAUGCCCAGGGACUUGGAAAUAUAGAAGCCCUUGGCCAUGGUGAUGGUGGGGAGGCGGCUCAGGGAGCCUCAGGCCAGGCAGAGAACGGAGCAGCCCCAGGCCGGGCUUAUAUCCCCAAAGGGGAGGAGCCCCACAACAGGCAGACUGGGCAAAAAUUAAC
This 305-nucleotide long non-coding RNA is filed under the name Homo sapiens (human). RNAcentral's name for it is "HSALNT0382992". The record is from RNAcentral. Lineage: Eukaryota; Metazoa; Chordata; Mammalia; Primates; Hominidae.